Molecule: ribosomal RNA, 442 nt
Filed under: uncultured bacterium
Lineage: Bacteria
Description: partial 16S ribosomal RNA
Rfam family: Bacterial small subunit ribosomal RNA
Source: RNAcentral
AGCGAACGCUGGCGGCAGGCUUAACACAUGCAAGUCGAGCGGGCAUCCUUGUGGUGUCAGCGGCAGACGGGUGAGUAACGCGUGGGAACGUGCCCUUCGGUUCGGAAUAACUCAGGGAAACUUGAGCUAAUACCGGAUACGUGCGAGAGCAGAAAGGUUUAUCUGCCGAAGGAUCGGCCCGCGUCUGAUUAGCUAGUUGGUGAGGUUAUGGCUCACCAAGGCGACGAUCAGUAGCUGGUCUGAGAGGAUGAUCAGCCACACUGGGACGGAGACACGGCCCCGAGUGCUACGGGAGGCAGCAGGGGGGGAUAGUGCACAAUGGGCGGAAGCCUGAUGCAGGAACUCCGGGUGCGGGAUGACGGCCGUCGGGUGGGAAAACGCUUGCGCCGGUGACGAAGCGGGAGGGAAGGGAAUGGGUAAAGAAGCAAGGGCUAACUAGGUG